UCUUGCCAGUAUUUUGUCUCGGUUGCCCUGCAAUAUUGGGUCAAAUCUCAUUUUCAUUGGGGAGUUGUUCCUUUCUCUAGCAUCUGUUAUGGGACACUCAUCCUUUUGCUAAUCUUUUCUCCAUCUAUUCAUACUAAACCAACAAUACUAGGAUCAUGUCAUUCAACAAACAAACCUUUGGCUGGUACUGUAUAUUUGAGAACUAAUAAAUUUGGUUAAACUAGAAGGCAUUACCUUUAAAGCCAAAGAGUUUGAAUCUUUAUGCACAGUUGAUUUUCUUUUUCCAGAAGGUGAAGAAGAUCAAGAAGAUGAUGAAGAAGAUCAACUUGAGAUAGAAUUUUGAAUUGUUAUAGAUGAAUGUUUUAGGAAUCUUUUGUUAUCAAUAUUUUUGGAACUUACUUACUCUCUUGAAAUGUACUAAACUUAUGCACUUGGGUAGAACAUUUGCUUUAUGGAUAAUUUUAUAUUAUUA
This is a long non-coding RNA of Nicotiana attenuata, 472 nucleotides long. RefSeq lists it as uncharacterized. The record is from RefSeq and is a predicted model, not a curated record. NCBI's taxonomy places the organism in Eukaryota, Viridiplantae, Streptophyta, Magnoliopsida, Solanales, Solanaceae. The transcript is spliced from 2 exons.